This 344-nucleotide ribosomal RNA is filed under the name uncultured bacterium. RNAcentral describes it as "partial 16S ribosomal RNA". It matches the Rfam family "Bacterial small subunit ribosomal RNA", at positions 338 to 699 of the family's 1533-position model. The record is from RNAcentral.
CCUACGGGUGGCAGCAGUGGGGAAUAUUGCACAAUGGGGGAAACCCUGAUGCAGCGACGCCGCGUGAGUGAAGAAGUAAUUCGUUAUGUAAAGCUCUAUCAGCAGGGAAGAAAAUGACGGUACCUGAGUAAGAAGCCACGGCUAACUACGUGCCAGCAGCCGCGGUAGUACGUAGGGGGCAAGCGUUAUCCGGAUUGACUGGGGGUAAAGGGAGCGUAGACGGCAGGGCAAGUCUGGAGUGAAAGGCGGGGGCUCAACCCCCGGACCGCUCUGGAAACUGUACGGCUGGAGUGCAGGAGAGGUAAGUGGAAUUCCGAGUGUAGCGGUGAAAUGCGUAGAGAUUA